GAUGAACGCUAGCGGCAGGCCUAACACAUGCAAGUCGAGGGGCAUCGCGGUGCAGCAAUGCACUGGCGGCGACCGGCGUACGGGUGCGUAACGCGUAUGCAACCUGCCCCGCACCGGGGGAUAGCCCGCCGAAAGGCGGAUUAAUACCCCAUGGUCCCGGGGGCCCGCAUGGGCAUCCGGGUAAAGCCUUGGCGGUGCGGGAUGGGCAUGCGUGCCAUUAGCUGGCUGGUGGGGUAACGGCCCACCAGGGCAACGAUGGCUAGGGGGUCUGAGAGGAUGGUCCCCCACACUGGUACUGAGACACGGACCAGACUCCUACGGGAGGCAGCAGUGAGGAAUAUUGGUCAAUGGGCGGAAGCCUGAACCAGCCAUGCCGCGUGCGGGAUGAAGGCCCUACGGGUUGUAAACCGCUUUUCCCCGGGAAGAAUAAGCCCCCCCGCGGGGGGGUGAUGCCGGUACCGGGGGGAAUAAGGAUCCGGCUAACUCCCGUGCCAGCCAGCCGCGGUAAACAUACUCGUA
Molecule: ribosomal RNA, 519 nt
Filed under: uncultured bacterium
Lineage: Bacteria
Description: partial 16S ribosomal RNA
Rfam family: Bacterial small subunit ribosomal RNA
Source: RNAcentral